Small nucleolar RNA from Pteropus vampyrus (large flying fox), 134 nucleotides. The record is from Ensembl. Lineage: Eukaryota; Metazoa; Chordata; Mammalia; Chiroptera; Pteropodidae.
CGGUUCAUCCUAAUCCCUGCUGGUCAGCCUGUGGCCUGCCAGGUUUCGCUUGUGGACCAGAGCACCUUAGAAGCCUCACCCUGAGCAGUGAGCACAGCUUUAGUGGGCUUGCAUCAGGGCGCUUCUAGACACUG